CCUACGGGAGGCAGCAGUGGGGAAUAUUGCACAAUGGGCGGAAGCCUGAUGCAGCGACGCCGCGUGAGGGAUGACGGCCUUCGGGUUGUAAACCUCUUUCAGUAGGGAAGAAGCGUAAGUGACGGUACCUGCAGAAGAAGCGCCGGCUAACUACGUGCCAGCAGCCGCGGUAAUACGUAGGGCGCAAGCGUUAUCCGGAAUUAUUGGGCGUAAAGAGCUCGUAGGCGGUUUGUCGCGUAUGCUGUGAAAGACCGGGGCUCAACUCCGGUUCUGCAGUGGGUACGGGCAGACUAGAGUGAUGUAGGGGAGACUGGAAUUCCUGGUGUAGCGGUGAAAUGCGCAGAUAUCAGGAGGAACACCGAUGGCGAAGGCAGGUCUCUGGGCAUUAACUGACGCUGAGGAGCGAAAGCAUGGGGAGCGAACAGGAUUAGAUACCCUGGUAGUCCAUGCCGUAAACGUUGGGCACUAGGUGUGGGGGACAUUCCACGUUUUCCGCGCCGUAGCUAACGCAUUAAGUGCCCCGCCUGGGGAGUACGGCCGCAAGGCUAAAACUCAAAGGAAUUGACGG
RNAcentral lists this ribosomal RNA (568 nucleotides) under uncultured bacterium. RNAcentral describes it as "bacterial SSU rRNA". It matches the Rfam family "Bacterial small subunit ribosomal RNA", at positions 338 to 916 of the family's 1533-position model. The record is from RNAcentral.